This 406-nucleotide ribosomal RNA is filed under the name uncultured bacterium. RNAcentral describes it as "partial 16S ribosomal RNA". It matches the Rfam family "Bacterial small subunit ribosomal RNA", at positions 28 to 526 of the family's 1533-position model. The record is from RNAcentral.
GAUUAACGCUGGCGGCGUGCAUAACACAUGCAAGUCGAACGAAGUGGCGGACGGGUGAGUAACGCGUGAGUAACCUGCCUUAGAGAAGGGGAUAGCCUUUGGAAACGACGAAUAAUACCCUAUGCUCUCAGAUGGACUUGCGUCUGAUUAGUUAGUUGGUGGGGUAACGGCCCACACAAACAGCGAUCAGUAGCCGCCGGGAGAGAGGGUACGGCCACAUUGGGACUGAGACACGGCCCAGGCUCGAGGGGAGGCAGCAGUGGGGAAUUGUGCACAAUGGGGGAAACCCGGAUGCAGCGACGCCGCGGGAUUUAGAAGGCCUUCGGGUUGUAAAAAUCUUUUCUAUGGGAAGCAGUACCAUAGGAAUAAGGACCGGCUAAUUACGUGCCAGCAGCCGCGGUAAUAC